UCCGCCUACAUAUCCCUAGUCUUGGGAAUCAAGUCACUUGUAUUUUUUUUAAAUCAAUUAGGCCCUCAUGGGCAUUUUAUUAUUGCAGAAAAAACAAAUAAAAGUCGCCCAGAUUGAGCCCAAAACGAUGGCCCAGCCCAAAAACAAAGUCAUAAAGGAAAACAAAAUAAAGCAAAAAAAUAAAAAAGGAAAGUAGACUAAAAUUUGUAAAGGGCAAAAUCAUUUCAUUUUCCCUAUUUCCUCAGUGUUGUCGGAUGAGCUUUCAAGCUCCUUCCAUGGCUUCUCUUCUUCAUCUUCAUCGAUCUGAUGCCUCUACUUCCACUCCGAUAAUGAUAAUAUACUCUGAUGAGUGUGAAGGUACUCCGUCUUCUUCUUUCGUUCCUGUCAAAGCCCAAAAGAUGUCCUGCUUGUGUAAGUAUGCAAUUCUUCAACUUUGAGCUCAUUUUCUUGAUAUUAUGCUUAUUCCUGUCUCUAUGUUGAUAUCCAUGGACGCUAUUCGAUGAAAUGUGACCUGCACAAGCUGUUGCACCUUUCUCUGACUUAUCCAUGUUUGUGCUUCCUAAGGUACCCCCUUUUGUUCAGCUACUACUCCAUUCUCCUGUUCUUCUGUUUCCUUGAUCAAAAUAUCAAAGGUAUUGUUUGUCUCCACCUCUUGCUUAUUAUUCUCCUUGCCUACCUCUGCAAUAAUGACCCCAUAUUUGUCUUUAAUAUAAUUGUUAUGCCUCCUCUUCAUCUAUUCUUUUUUCCCUGGAUAAUUACAUCCCCCCGAUUGUUUUUUUUUUUUCUACUGAAUUUCUACUUCUGCUUCUUGCUUCUUCUUCAACUCUUCUCUGUAUCGCUUCUGCAAUUCUGGGUUUAGUGCUUUGCAUUCAUUCUCUCUGUUGACACCUACUUUUUGACCUCCCAUAACUUAGUUUAAUUACUCGGAAUUCUUUGAUAUCAACCAGAGUGAAAUAUGUAUUUUUGGAAGUCGAAAUGAUUUUAUAAAAUUAUUCAUAUAAUAUUUUACCAUUCUUAUUUGGUAAAAAUAAUUCCUAAAAUAUUAUAAAUCAUUUAGAAAUUAAUUUACACAUUUUUACAAAAAAUAUGGCAUUUGCUAGAAUUAACUAAAAGAAAAACAAUUUAUAACAAUUAUCUACUUAAUUGUCUAAAUUGUUAGAAUGUCAACUAGCAAAUAUUUUACUCUGUUUAAUUCAAGGGGUCUAAUUAAUUAAACGAAUUAAUAAUUUUACCUCUCAAUUCUUAUUUGUUCAAUUUAUUAUAAUUUUAUCAUAAUUAAUUGAGUAUUUAAUUGUGAUUAAUUCUAUAAAUUGCUCAUUAAAUGCCUAAUCAAUUAAUAGUCCAAUCAUGGCCCAAUUGAAAAUCAAUUUCAAUAAUUCAGGUCAUUAUUGCAAAAUUAGCCUUUAAUUGUUAUUUAUUCUAAUUGUGACCUCAUAUGAGAGGGCCAAAUUCGUUAGUUUGAUUAAUUAAGGUCAUUUUUGCAAAUGAUACCAUGGGACAGCUAAUUGGACCAAAAAGGCCAUAAUUGAAAUAGCCUGGUCUUAAGAUCAAGUCAAUUAAAGGUCAUAUUCGCAAAAUCUAAGCUUUAUUUAUUUAAUUAGUCUUGCUUGGUUAUAAUUAGAGGUUUUAAAUUAAGUGACCUUUUCUUAAUUACGGUCAUUUAUUUAAACACGUGUUAAAUCCUCACAUAUAUACAUGUAUAUACACUGAUAUUUGCGUGUAUACAAGUACAUCAAGUAUAUAUACAUGUAUAUGAGGCCCCAGCUAUUUUAUUUCAGCUCUGGACCGAGCCCAGCCCAACAAGGGGCAUGACCCAGCCCCAUUGUGUGUUAAAGGGGUAAUACCCCGAUAUUCCUCAACAUUUUCACAACAAACACACCUCAGUAACCCUUAUCCCUUUCCCUCCUCGCGAAACCUUAGCCGCCAGGCUUGUCCUUCUCUCUCCUCGUCACGUUGCUUGAAAUGGCAAGAUUGAAGGGCCUAUGUUAUGUAUGUUGCUUUUGUGUUUUGAAAAAUGCAGGAGAAUUAAAUGCUCUACCAUUCCUCAACUAAAUCCACCGAAGUCCAACCCAAACAAGUUGGGUUGAAGCUUGAAGUCUUCCAAGUCCUAAUCUCUUCACGACUGUGCCAAAGAAAGCAGAUACCAUAGAGAAGACAUCCUCCCUUGCAAACAAAUUUAGAGGAAGCUCUGGGAAACUAAUCCAUGCCACAACAAUUGAAGUUUUCUCCUCAGGCUUGAACCGUGGAUCCUAAAUCAGUGGUCUCAUCUGACAAUACCUAUCCUGGACUUUCAAGUAGUAUGCUGGAGUUGACAUCAUCUUCACAUAAUCCUCUAAUAGAGACGACCUUGUCAAGAUAUAUCUCUCUUCAAUUAAUCCUAUUAUGUCUUUACCUUUUAUACCCCAUUGUAAAGGGAUGAUAUCUCUUAAUUGUUUGAUAUCAAUUAUGUCAUAAGAAAACUUUCCAAGGACUGCAUACUGUAAUUCCUCCUUAAUAAUCAUCUACUUUACUUCUGAA
Molecule: long non-coding RNA, 2517 nt
Organism: Lycium barbarum (goji berry)
Lineage: Eukaryota; Viridiplantae; Streptophyta; Magnoliopsida; Solanales; Solanaceae
Exons: 4
Source: RefSeq, a predicted model, not a curated record